UACGUGGGGAGCGAGAGGUGUUCGGAAUUACUGGGCGUAAAGCGCGUGUAGGCGGCCUAUUAUGUCAGGUGUGAAAGCCCUCGGCCUAACCGAGGAAGUGCGCCUGAAACUGCUAGGCUUGAGUACGAGAGAGGAGGACGGAAUUCCCAGUGUAGAGGUGAAAUUCGUAGAUAUUGGGAGGAACACCGGCGGCGAAAGUGGUUCUCUGGAUCGAUACUGGCGCUAAGACGCGAAAGCGUGGGGAGCAAACAGG
This 253-nucleotide ribosomal RNA is filed under the name uncultured bacterium. Its description in RNAcentral is "partial 16S ribosomal RNA". It matches the Rfam family "Bacterial small subunit ribosomal RNA", at positions 524 to 776 of the family's 1533-position model. The record is from RNAcentral.